UACGUAGGAUCAAAGCGUUGUCCGGAUUUACUGGGUGUAAAGGGUGCGCAGGCGGACUUGUUAGUCAGAGGUGAAAUCUCACUGCUCAACAGUGAAACUGCCUUUGAUACUGCAGGUCUUGAAUCCAGAAGAGAGUUGUGGAAUUCCGAGUGUAGCAGUGAAAUGUGUAGAUAUUCGGAAGAACACCAGCGGCGAAGGCAGCAACUUGGUCUGGUAUUGACGCUCAGGCACGAAAGCAUGGGGAUCAAACAGG
Molecule: ribosomal RNA, 253 nt
Filed under: uncultured bacterium
Lineage: Bacteria
Description: partial 16S ribosomal RNA
Rfam family: Bacterial small subunit ribosomal RNA
Source: RNAcentral